UAGGCCAUUUUCCAGUGAUUGAAGCCACUGUUCUGGAAAGGAUGUAUGCCCAGCUUUCGAAGACACAGUCCCACAUAUACGUCUUCAAGGUGAAGCAGUCUUGUGUGGAGUGAGGUCUUGUAAAUGAGUUCAGCCACAUCGGCUGAAAAGAUGUAGCCAGUCCCCGAACAGAAAGGUGGGAUCGCUUUGGGACUCUGAGAUUCUCACGCAGGAAGUUUAUUGGAGCAUGUUCUUAGGAACAACACCUGUCUCUAAUGUGAGAGGAGAAAGAAGAAGGCAAAGGGAGAGUCUGAACCUUGAUGCAGUCACAGCACAGACCUGAGCUGACCCUGCAGGGAGCUCUGGGGCUGGGAUGGUUCUGCAGAGUCCAGUGGGUGCCAGGCCAGCUUGCAUGGGCUUGGGCAGAGCUGGUGGUACACACUUCUUCCCAACUUCACAUUCAAUGACAUCAUGUUGAUAUCUUGCAACUGGUGGCACAUACAUUUAUAACACAGUAACAGGCAAUGCUGGAAACCAGGGGUUCUCCCACUUCCCUUGCCUAGAAAGCUGGUUUGCCAGAAAACCCACAGUGAAGAAAGAUUGCUUCCAUAUCUCUGUGCCCAAAUUCAUGCAAUAAGUUCUUCGUUGUU
RNAcentral lists this non-coding RNA (629 nucleotides) under Pongo abelii (Sumatran orangutan). Lineage: Eukaryota; Metazoa; Chordata; Mammalia; Primates; Hominidae. The record is from RNAcentral.